Long non-coding RNA from Carya illinoinensis, 3270 nucleotides. RefSeq lists it as uncharacterized. The transcript has 2 exons. NCBI's taxonomy places the organism in Eukaryota, Viridiplantae, Streptophyta, Magnoliopsida, Fagales, Juglandaceae. The record is from RefSeq and is a predicted model, not a curated record.
UAUCUAUUUUUAUAAAGUUGCAUACAUUUGUAAAUACAAACUAAAUCUGUUCAUACCAUGACUGUUUCUUGCGAAUUUCUGCUCAAAUUCCUUUUUAUUUGGUCUGACAUAAGUGGAGGGAUGAUAAAUCUGACCCUCAGGGGAAUUAGGAUUCAGGAUAAGGAAGCAGAAGUGGUCACGUUAAGGUAAUUGGAAACUGGAUAAAUCAUUUCCACGAAACCAGUAUUUUAGCUCUAACAAUAAAUUGUUCAAAUAUCUUUCAAAGGGCGGUGCUGCUCCGUAAUGCACCACCCUGACAUUGCCCUUGGUCUAACCUGCCUUCAAGACAGUAAUGGUUGUCUCCCCCAAAUGGAAAUCCUAGUCCUAUGAGCCAGCCCUUUUCUGCCUUGACCUGGGCUCCUCCUAGUUCUUGGUAGCUUGGGUUUCUCCAAAUAACUCAAAAUAUGUCAUUUUUCUUUGUAAUCUCACUGGGGUUUGCAGCGAUGGAAGAACUAUUUUGGAAACAAAGAGAUAUUCUAGUUUUAAGAUUUCUAAAGGAACUGCUAGGAUGAUGUUUAAUGCCUCAAGAAGUGGGUGUUCAACCUUUAAAUUCUACCACCAAUGCUUUUGAUGGCGGCCCCACAGAUUUAUCUCAGUAAUUUCCCAGGGAAGGGUGGUUGUCGAAUAGAAGCCUGAGGAUAAGUUAGAUUGUUGAAGAACCUUGGACACUUUGUGAGCAACAAAGGAAUAAAAAUUAAGGAUUUCGUGCUCAAAGAUAUCUUGCUUAUGUCCACCUUAUGGGUUAAUAUCAACUAACAAAGUUCCUCAUCAUCCUUUUGAACGACUGUUCCAUACAUAUCAGAAGUCUUAACUUGUGUUAAUAGAAAUGAAGGACUCCACCCAUUUUCAUAAAGCAUCUAAGUUUCUUGUUUAAUGCUUCUUUGUUUGGAAGCAUGUCUAGAGUAGAAGGUACAAGCCAUAUGGUAGUAUAGUUAAGUAUAGUGGUGAUUCUCAUCACUGCAGACCUAGGAAGGGGAUGGGGAUGGUUUAGUUCAAACUUGUCAUAUAACCUUCCCAUCAGAUGUGUUGUUGGUUACUAAGCACUUGAGAAGGUUCAGACUAUACUUAUCCAAAAAAAAAAAAAAAAAAAAAGAAGGUUCAGACUAACAUUUACUGAUUUUUAAACUAUGCACGAAGAAUGAGAUACAAAUUGACUGAAUCAGCAUCUCUUUCAUUCAAUAAUGCCUUGCUAGCAAAAUCACAUGACCUGAAACUUAGGGAAAGAUCUCAACUGUCGUUGUUUUCUAACAUGAAUCAUAUUCGAAGUAUGUGAUGAACACUUUUUGGCUAGGACAUUGUCUCCAUUUGUAGUUUGGCUUGCAUCCUUUUCCCCAACCUCACCAGGGACAUUAAAACAUAAGAAUUAAAUGAGUUGAAUACUCAGUAAAUUGAUACAUCACACAGCCAAUAAGGUAGAAAUAAGUUUGUUUUUAAAGAAACAUUCAGACAUUUUAAGAAGACACUCAAAUGUUUCACCAACCUUUUUCCUUUAAUCUCUUAAGUGGACAGCACACACUUAUGCUGUGUCUAAUCCCAAGGAUCACAGUUUCGUUCUUGUGACCACAGGUGGAACAUCCUUUAAGAUAUGGAUAUCACUCGAUAACUUGGGUGUUCUGGACUUCCUGUGUCAAUCCCUGUGGACCAUACAAGAUGGCUGCCCUUACCUCUUCUUUAUCUCUGAUAUCACCGUUCAUCAAUCAUAAGGCCAAGAAAACGAUUUAAGUCAUUUGCAUAAAUUCCAAACAAUCACAUUGGCUUCCUUUCCUUUCCUCUCUUUCUUUUCCUUUGCUUUUUCAUCAUGUCAUAUAAUUAUAGCAUUUCAUCUCUUUUUCAAAUGGUAUUGGAUGCAUAAAAAGGGCUACCUAGGGUGGCUACAUAACACCAUAAUACAUGCAUAAUCUUUUUUUUUUGAUAAAUUAAUACAUGCAUAAUCUUAGAGAGACAUUACAUUUUCAUUCGAAGAAAUAAAGGUAUGAUCAUAUCUAAUUACCUUGUUUUCAUAGCUUGCACAAUAUCACCACUUCUUUUGCAGCCUAGGGAUAUCUAUUAAUAUCAAACCUUUUUACUCUUGCUAACGCAUAAAAUCCCUUUCAUACAUGCUUUUGUAGACAUGGACAGAUCCGAUUUCCUUGAUUUCAACUUGUGUUUUCAAAGAAAAUUCAUGAAUAAGAACUUGGUAUCAAGUUGACAAUGAUGGCCUAACUUCUAUGGAUGUUAAGGUCCUUGAAAAGUCUCCUAUGGUUGCUGUUUCACCCCUUAGAAACUUUCUACAACCACCUUAGUAUUCUGUCUCCUGAUCGAAUAGUGUUAGGUGUCAAAUGUAAAGAGCAUGCAUAUGUCAUUGUUUAAAUGGCUAAAAAAUCUACUAUGCUAGGGCUGAUGGUAAUUUAUUUUUGUAGUCUCUGUAAAGCCUCUGUUCAGGUCUGCUUUUGGGCCUAAGACCUUUUCAUGGGCCUAAAAGUGCGAUCUUAGGCCUAAAAUUGCUAAGUUUUCGUGUGCAUGAGUGUGUGUGUGUGUGUGUGUGUUUAGGCUGCAUAAUUAGCCUCGUGAUUUCAGUCUAGAGAAAACUUUCUUGGUAUUCGAUUUAAGGGGCAAGGCGUUAAAAACCCUAGGGAUACUUUAGUAUUAGAGAGGUGGUGCUAUCAAAUUGUUAAAGCAGUGAAAAUCCCUCUAGGGAAGGGAAGUUAUCUGUACGUUCCUUUUAGGAGGCCACGGCCAUUCAGGAUAACAAUCUUUUUCAUUGAUGGAGCAUUUGAAGGAGUAAGGCAGCAUGUGCAGAAAAAGUGGAGAAACAAUGGGUCACUGGCUACUUCAUUGUGAUGUCACCAAGGCAUUGUGGGAUGAUUUUUCAAUAGAGUUUUACUUGCAGUGGUUGUGAUCUCCUUGCCAACUGGAGAGGUCUUUAUGGCAUCCCGCAAAUUGCAGCAAUAUGGAAGAUGGUUCCCAUAUGUCUACUAUGAUGAGGGAAUGGAAUGACCAGAAAUUUGAAGAUAAGGAAUGCUCUCUGGAAGAACCUAGAAGUCUCUUUUUCAAUACGUUGUUUCUCUGGGCAAUAGCUAUAGACUUCAGUGGGCUCAAUUUUGAUGGUUUCCUUGUUUCUAUUUCUAGAUCCUGACUAGGUGUUUUCUCUUGUAUACGCCUAUUCCUAUGACAGCAUUAAUAAAUUGCGUUUACUUGUAAAGGCAACUGUUUUAGUUUGCAGGAAAUCGAAGUAUAACAAUUUUUGAUGCC